CCCUUAGAUGUUCUGGGCUGCACGCGCGCUACACUGAUGCAUUCAACGAGUUUUACCUUGGCCGAGAGGCCUGGGCAAUCUUUUAAACCUUCAUCGUGAUAGGGAUAGAUUAUUGCAAUUAUUAAUCUUGAACGAGGAAUUCCUAGUAAACGCAAAUCAUCAAUUUGCAUUGAUUACGUCCCUGCCCUUUGUACACACCGCCCGUCGCACCUACCGAUUGAAUGGUCCGGUGAAGCCUCGGGAUUGUGGCCAGUUCACUUUAUUGGGAGUUGGCUGUGAGAACUUGUCUAAACCUUAUCAUUUAGAGGAAGGUGAAGUCGUAACA
Molecule: ribosomal RNA, 325 nt
Filed under: uncultured eukaryote
Lineage: Eukaryota
Description: partial 18S ribosomal RNA
Rfam family: Eukaryotic small subunit ribosomal RNA
Source: RNAcentral